RNAcentral lists this ribosomal RNA (497 nucleotides) under uncultured bacterium. RNAcentral's name for it is "partial 16S ribosomal RNA". It matches the Rfam family "Bacterial small subunit ribosomal RNA", at positions 28 to 507 of the family's 1533-position model. The record is from RNAcentral.
GAUGAACGCUGGCGGCGUGCCUAAUACAUGCAAGUCGAGCGAACAGACGAGGAGCUUGCUCCUCUGACGUUAGCGGCGGACGGGUGAGUAACACGUGGAUAACCUACUUAUAAGACUGGGAUAAUUUCGGGAAACCGGAGCUAAUACCGGAUAAUAUAUUGAACCGCAUGGUUCAAUAGUGAAAGACGGUUUUGCUGUCACUUAUAGAUGGAUCCGCGCCGCAUUAGCUAGUGGGUAAGGUAACGGCUUACCAAGGCAACGAUGCGUAGCCGACCUGAGAGGGUGAUCAGCCACACUGGAACUGAGACACGGUCCAGACUCCUACGGGAGGCAGCAGUAGGGAAUCUUCCGCAAUGGGCGAAAGCCUGACGGAGCAACGCCGCGUGAGUGAUGAAGGUCUUCGGAUCGUAAAACUCUGUUAUUAGGAAAGAACAAAUGUGUAAGUAACUAUGCACGUCUUGACGGUACCUAAUCAGAAAGCCACGGCUAACUACGUG